UAUAAUUGAUGAUAAGGUAAUAAAUUUUAAAUAUAUAAAAGAAUGGAAAAAUUAAUUGAAGUUAAGAUAUAAAAUUGUAAAGAAGGUUAAAAAAAAAAGAAAUACAUUGUUUUAAAAUUAAUAAUAAUAAUAAUAAUAGUAAUAAAAUAGUCCAGUAGUUGGAAUGUGAAAGAUAGUAUGGUUUAUAAGUGGAAAUGAUUGUUAUUGAGAUGUAAAAGGAAACAAAAUUGAAAUGUUAGUAAAUGAUGUAUAAUAUUGGAAGAGAAUAAUUACUAUUGAUUUGGGAACAAAAAACUCUAAGGAAAUUAAGAGGUAGAAGGUUGUAAUAAUUGAUUGUAAGAUGUUGUUGUUAGUUGCGAAGUCAUGUCCAACCCAUCGUGACCCCAUGGACAACGUUCCUGCAGGCCUUCCUAUCCUCUACCAUCCUCUGGAGUCUAUUUAAGCUCACGUCUACUGCUUCAGUGAUUCCAUUCAGCCACCUCAUUCUUUAUCGUCCCUUUCUUCUUUUGCCCUCAAUCUUUCCCAGCAUUAGGCUCUUCUCCAGUGAAUCCUUCCUUCUCAUUAGGUGGCCAAAGUAUUUGAGUUUCAUCUUCAGGAUCUGGCCUUCUAAAGAGCAGUCAGAGUUGAUCUCCUUUAGGACUGACUUGUUUGUUCGCCUUGCAGUCCAAGGGACUCGCAGGAGUCUUCUCCAGCACCAGAGUUCAAAGGCCUCAAUUCUUUGGCGCUCAGCCUUUCUUUCACAGCCAUACAUUGCAACUGGGAAAACCAUAGCCUUGUCUAUACAUACUUUCGUUGGUAGGGUGAUAUCUUUGCUUUUUAGUAUGAUGUCUAGAUUUGCCAUAACUUUCCUCCCCAGGAGCAAGCGUCUUUUAAUUUCUUGGCUGCAGUCCCCAUCUGCAGUGAUCUUGGAGCCCAGGACAAUGAAAUCUGUCACUAUGUUCUUUUGAAUCUAAACCCGUCCCUCCCUUCUUCUAGCUUCCAAUGGGGGAAGACUUCCAGCUUUUAAUGCCUCAACAUAAAAUUCUAAACGCAAGGAACAAGAGAUGAAGGCACAACAACAACUGGCAACUACUACAAUGGAAACAGUGGGAGGAGCAAGGCCUAAAGUAAAAUGUGAUCUGCGGCUGGUGUUCCAAAAGUUUCCUUUGGCCGAUAAUGGCAAUUAAACUAUUAUCUUGGAAUGUUAAUGGCCUGAAUUCACCGCAGAAGAGAAGGAAAGUAUUUCAUUAUUUGAAAUAAUUUAAAAAUGACAUUACCAGUUUACAAGAAACAUAUAUUAGAUCUUGCUAAAUGUUGGAGAUGCGAUUGUGAAGAUGCUACUUAUUACCAUAUAUGGUGGACUUGUAAAAAAGUUAAAGUAUUUUGGAUUAAAGGCUGGUGGAUCAUGCAGAAUAUUUUGAAAAAGAAGAUUAAGUUUACUCCGCAGUUUUUUCUACUAGGAAUAAUUAUGGACUAUACAGCUAUAGAGACUAAAUUGAUUUUGAACUUAAUAACAGUCGCAAGACUUUUGAUUGCUCAGUAUUGGAAGAAAGAAGAAUUACCUACAAUCGAAGAAUGGACAAAACAAAACAACAAAUGGACACUUAAAGUAUCAAAUCUGGCAGAGAUGACAAAAAUCUCCGCUUACUUGAAAGACUAUAUACUAGAAAAAUAUAUUUUAGAAUGGAAAA
Molecule: long non-coding RNA, 1670 nt
Organism: Ahaetulla prasina
Lineage: Eukaryota; Metazoa; Chordata; Lepidosauria; Squamata; Colubridae
Exons: 2
Source: RefSeq, a predicted model, not a curated record